GCGGGUGUAAUUCAGCGGCAGAAUGCUUGCUUCCCAAGCAAGACGUCGGCGGUUCGAAUCCGCUCACCCGCUCCA
This 75-nucleotide transfer RNA is filed under the name Chloroflexota bacterium. RNAcentral's name for it is "Chloroflexi bacterium (hot springs metagenome) tRNA-Gly". It matches the Rfam family "tRNA". From Rfam's summary of the family: Transfer RNA (tRNA) molecules are approximately 80 nucleotides in length. Their secondary structure includes four short double-helical elements and three loops (D, anti-codon, and T loops). The record is from RNAcentral. Lineage: Bacteria; Bacillati; Chloroflexota.